Molecule: ribosomal RNA, 253 nt
Filed under: uncultured bacterium
Lineage: Bacteria
Description: partial 16S ribosomal RNA
Rfam family: Bacterial small subunit ribosomal RNA
Source: RNAcentral
UACGUAGGGACCAAGCGUUGUUCGGAUUUACUGGGCGUAAAGGGCGCGUAGGCGGCGCGGUAAGUCACUUGUGAAAUCUCUGAGCUUAACUCAGAACGGCCAAGUGAUACUGCAGUGCUAGAGUGUGGAAGGGGCAAUCGGAAUUCUCGGUGUAGCGGUGAAAUGCGUAGAUAUCGAGAGGAACACCUGCGGCGAAGGCGGGUAGCUGGGCCGACACUGACGCUGAUGCGCGAAAGCCAGGGGAGCGAACGGG